RNAcentral lists this ribosomal RNA (498 nucleotides) under uncultured bacterium. RNAcentral's name for it is "partial 16S ribosomal RNA". It matches the Rfam family "Bacterial small subunit ribosomal RNA", at positions 36 to 507 of the family's 1533-position model. The record is from RNAcentral.
UCCUCCCUCUGGCUUCGUGCCUAAUACAUGCAAGUCGAACGAUAGCGACCGUUGCUUGCACUGGUCUAUCUAGUAGCGACCAGGUGAGUAGCAAGUGGGUAAUCUGCUCAUCAGAGCGGGAUAACAUCCGGAAACGGAUGUUAAAACCGCGUAGGUCUUCGAGCCGCUUGCCUUGUAGAGGAAGAGAGGAGAUAGCUUCUGCUGAUGGAUGGCCCCGCGGUGCAUUAGCUGGUUGGUGGGGUAACGGCUCACAAAGGCCGUGAUGCAGAGCCGACGUGAGGGGGGGAUCGGCCGCAAUGGGACUGAUACACGGCCGAAACGCCUCCUGGAGGCAGCAGUAGGGAAUCUUCCGGAAUGAACGCAAGUCUGACGGUGCAACGCCGCGGGAGGGAAGAAGGUGUUCUGCGCGUUAAACUCUGCUGUUAGAGAAGAACAAGUGCUGGAGUAACUGUUAGCGGCUUGACGGUAGCUAGCCAGAAAGCCACGGCUAACUACGUG